AAUGGGCGCAAGCCUGACCCAGCCAUGCCGCGUGAAGGAUGAAGGCCCUAUGGGUUGUAAACUUCUUUUUUACGGGACAAAACUCUCGGACGUGUCCGGGAUUGAUGGUACUGUAUGAAUAAGCAUCGGCUAACUCCGUGCCAGCAGCCGCGGUAAUACGGAGGAUGCAAGCGUUAUCCGGAUUCAUUGGGUUUAAAGGGUGCGUAGGCGGAAUAAUAAGUCAGUGGUGAAAGCCUGCGGCUUAACCGUAGAAUUGCCGUUGAUACUGUUAUUCUUGAGUAUAGUUGAAGUGGGCGGAAUGUGUAAUGUAGCGGUGAAAUGCUUAGAUAUUACACAGAACACCAAUUGCGAAGGCAGCUCGCUAAACUGUUACUGACGCUGAGGCACGAAAGCGUGGGGAGCAAA
RNAcentral lists this ribosomal RNA (405 nucleotides) under uncultured bacterium. Its description in RNAcentral is "bacterial SSU rRNA". It matches the Rfam family "Bacterial small subunit ribosomal RNA", at positions 370 to 772 of the family's 1533-position model. The record is from RNAcentral.